RNAcentral lists this unclassified non-coding RNA (292 nucleotides) under air metagenome. RNAcentral describes it as "partial contains small subunit ribosomal RNA, internal transcribed spacer 1, and 5.8S ribosomal RNA". The stretch from base 1 to 46 matches the Rfam family "Eukaryotic small subunit ribosomal RNA", at positions 1786 to 1831 of the family's 1831-position model. The record is from RNAcentral.
AAGUCGUAACAAGGUUUCCGUAGGUGAACCUGCGGAAGGAUCAUUUAAUGAGUUUGAACAGGACUUGAUGCUGGUCUGCUCUGGCGGACAUGUGCUCAGUUCUACUCAAUCCAUUCAACACCUGUGCACUUUCAAAGUUUGAAGUCCUCCGUCAUGGGAGCUGCGGUUUUGUAAUGAGACUGCUGGGACUUCGCUUUGCCCAUUAUCACAAACCAAUUUGAAGUCUUGUAGAAUGUAACUAGCCUAAGGGCUUAAUCUAAUACAACUUUCAACAACGGAUCUCUUGGCUCUC